AUGGUUAAGUUAGAAAGGGCGCACGGUGGAUGCCUUGGCACUAGGAGCCGAUGAAGGACGGGACGAACACCGAUAUGCUUCGGGGAGCUGUAAGCAAGCUUUGAUCCGGAGAUUUCCGAAUGGGGAAACCCACUGCUCGUAAUGGAGUAGUAUCCAUACUUGAAUACAUAGAGUAUGA
Molecule: ribosomal RNA, 178 nt
Filed under: Bacillus pumilus
Lineage: Bacteria; Bacillati; Bacillota; Bacilli; Caryophanales; Bacillaceae
Description: partial 23S ribosomal RNA
Rfam family: Bacterial large subunit ribosomal RNA
Source: RNAcentral